UGGGGAAUAUUGCACAAUGGGCGCAAGCCUGAUGCAGCCAUGCCGCGUGUGUGAAGAAGGCCUUCGGGUUGUAAAGCACUUUCAGCGAGGAGGAAGGGUAGUGUGUUAAUAGCACAUUGCAUUGACGUUACUCGCAGUAGAAGCACCGGCUAACUCCGUGCCAGCAGCCGCGGUAAUACGGAGGGUGCAAGCGUUAAUCGGAAUUACUGGGCGUAAAGCGCACGCAGGCGGUUUGUUAAGUCAGAUGUGAAAUCCCAGGGAUUAACGUGGGAACUGCAUUUGAAACUGGCAAGCUAGAGACUUGGAGAGGGCGGUAGAAUUCCAGGUGUAGCGGUGAAAUGCGUAGAGAUCUGGAGGAAUACCGGAGGCGAAGGCGGCCCCCUGGACAAAGACUGACGCUCAGGUGCGAAAGCGUGGGGAGCAAACA
Molecule: ribosomal RNA, 427 nt
Filed under: uncultured bacterium
Lineage: Bacteria
Description: partial 16S ribosomal RNA
Rfam family: Bacterial small subunit ribosomal RNA
Source: RNAcentral